This is a long non-coding RNA of Mirounga angustirostris (Northern elephant seal), 504 nucleotides long. RefSeq lists it as uncharacterized. The transcript is spliced from 3 exons. Lineage: Eukaryota; Metazoa; Chordata; Mammalia; Carnivora; Phocidae. The record is from RefSeq and is a predicted model, not a curated record.
UCAAACCCAGCACACAUCAGAUGCUUCCAGAGCAAAGAAACAACUCUGUUGGGCUGGUUCCUGAUGCCACUGGAUUUUAUUUUCACUUUCUUUUUUUAAACCUGUUUCACAUUCAGAAGCUUCUACUUCCAGAAAUUCUUUAAGAUACCAAGUGAUUUAUACGACCCUUGAUUGAAAACUGAUGCAUGGUGCUUUGCAUAUAUUAUCUUUAAUCCUCAUAAGAACCCUCAAGACUCCUACAUUUUUUGGAAGAGGAAAGCUUGUGAAAUAAGAUCUGCUCUGUCUAGAGAAUUCUGCCUCUAGCCCUGCAGUGGCAUCAAGAUUGGAUGGACACUGGCAAUUCCUUCCUAGUAGAGGUCUUUAAUGUAGUAAAGGAUCACCAGUUCCUUUCUGCUGUACUGUGGAGAGCCACGAGCAUGUUUGUAGAGACCUCAGACUGUAAGUCCCAGUCCUGUCAGCCAGUGCCUUCUUGAAAAGAGCUACUUCUUGACUCACUCCUAGGAU